This 338-nucleotide unclassified non-coding RNA is filed under the name fungal sp. RNAcentral's name for it is "partial internal transcribed spacer region". Lineage: Eukaryota; Fungi. The record is from RNAcentral.
AAGUCGUAACAAGGUUUCCGUAGGUGAACCUGCGGUUGGAUUAUCACAAUACUUGUUAACCAACAUCAACCACUGUGAACCGUAACGUCCCUACUCAUUCUUGCUCGUCAAGAGUGCGGUAGACAAUACCCCCCCAAUCCUAGUAGUUACUACUUUGUCAUCCAGUUUUAUACUGGAUGAUGAUCUAGUGGCGAAGUAUUCACUCACACUAAUUUUAACCCUACAACUAACAACUUGUCUAAUCUUCAUAACCUUAUGCAACUCGCUCUUGAUUGAGUGUGGUUAACUAAGCUUUACGAAAUAUUGAACAACUCUUAGCAAUGGAUAUCUUGGGUCAU